UACGGAGGAUCCAAGCGUUAUCCGGAUUUAUUGGGUUUAAAGGGUGCGUAGGCGGCCUGUUAAGUCAGGGGUGAAAGACGGUAGCUCAACUAUCGCAGUGCCCUUGAUACUGAUGGGCUUGAAUACACUAGAGGUAGGCGGAAUGUGACAAGUAGCGGUGAAAUGCAUAGAUAUGUCACAGAACACCGAUUGCGAAGGCAGCUUACUAUGGUUUUAUUGACACUGAGGCACGAAAGCGUGGGGAUCAAACAGG
Molecule: ribosomal RNA, 253 nt
Filed under: uncultured bacterium
Lineage: Bacteria
Description: partial 16S ribosomal RNA
Rfam family: Bacterial small subunit ribosomal RNA
Source: RNAcentral